This 120-nucleotide small RNA is filed under the name Marmota monax (woodchuck). Lineage: Eukaryota; Metazoa; Chordata; Mammalia; Rodentia; Sciuridae. The record is from RNAcentral.
GCUGGGCAUGGUGGCGAAUGCCUGUAAUUCCAGCGGCUUGGGAGGCUGAGACAGGAGGAUUGUGAGUUCAAAACCAGCCUCAGCUAUGGCACUUAGCAACUCAGAGAGACCCUGUCUCUA